Molecule: ribosomal RNA, 809 nt
Filed under: uncultured bacterium
Lineage: Bacteria
Description: bacterial SSU rRNA
Rfam family: Bacterial small subunit ribosomal RNA
Source: RNAcentral
GUCGAGCGAGGUAGAGAGCUUGCUCUCGAAGCCUAGCGGCGAACGGUCGCGUAACACGUAAGCAAUCUGCCCUGAAGUUGGGGAUAGCCCUCCGAAAGGAGGAUUAAUACCGAAUGUGGACAACGAUUGACAUCUUUUGUUGUCUAAAGUGGUAACACGCUUCAGGAUGAGCUUGCGGCCUAUCAGCUAGUUGGUGAGGUAACGGCCCACCAAGGCGACGACGGGUAGCUGGUCUGAGAGGAUGGUCAGCCGGACUGGGACUGAGAUACGGCCCAGACUCCUACGGGGGGCAGCAAUUAGGAAUCUUGCGCAAUGGGCGAAAGCCUGACGCAGCGACGCCGCGUGACUGAUGAAGUUCUUCGGAAUGUAAAGGUCUUUUCUGAGGGAAGAAGAAUGUGACGGUACCUCAGGAAUAAGCUCCGGCUAACUACGUGCCAGCAGCCGCGGUAAUACGUAGGGAGCAAGCGUUGUCCGAAUUUACUGGGCGUAAAGCGCGCGUAGGCGGGUUUUUAAGUUGGUGGUGAAAUCCCGAGGCUCAACCUCGGAACUGCCUCCAAAACUGGGAACCUUGAGGUAUGGAGGGGGAAGUGGAAUUCCAGGUGUAGCGGUGAAAUGCGUAGAUAUCUGGAGGAACACCCGUGGCGAAGGCGGCUUCCUGGCCAUAUCCUGACGCUGAGGUGCGAAAGCUAGGGUAGCGAACGGGAUUAGAUACCCCGGUAGUCCUAGCCGUAAACGAUGGAUACUAGGUGUUAGAGGUAUCGACCCCUCUAGUGCCGAAGCUAACGCAUUAAGUAUCCCGCCUGGGGAGU